UUUGAUAUUAUUGCAUUUAUUUUUUUAUCAUUUUCCUAUUAAAUUAUAAUUCUGACUUGCGAUCUCUCACUGGUUUGAUUUCAAACUAGUACAUAUUUUGGCGCCCAACGUGGGGCAUUAACCUGAGAGAAAGUCAGAAUUGCAAUUUCAUAUUAACAGAAACCUAUCCACCAUGGUGGUUGGCUUGUCUAUAUGGGUACUGUAUCUUGCUCUCUAUAUUUUCCCUCACAUGGGGAACUACUUGCCUGUUGUAUUGCUCCUGUUGAGACCAGGGAAUGGUAUGAGAAUUGCUUUAUUGGUUUAUUAUGCUUAUGGCAUGAUAACCUGUGAGGCAAUGAAUACCAUUCGGAAUAUAUACUCAAUUUUGUUUGCUUGUCCUAGUCUGGGCUGCUACAUCUGGGACCUUCUCAACAAUCGCACCCUGCCCUUGGUGGGAAGAGUGGAGAGUGGUUUCUUCCAGCCUUUCAGGUCAGGCACAGCAGUUUUUAAAAAUAUUGAGUUCUCUCUGGAUGCCAAGGACAGCCUAGUCUUGCUGUUUUGUUUUCUCUGCAUGGCCUGCACCAUGUACACCAUGCUUAGAAACAAAGCACUGUUUGGUGUGGUACAGCGUCUUCUUGAGGAGGAAGAGAAAAGAACCAAGAGCAGAGCAACAGCAUCCAUGACCACACAGACUGCCACAGAGGAGAAAGGAACCAAGAGCAAAGCCACAGCGUCCGUGUCUACGCAGACUGCCACAGAAGAGAAAGAAACCAAGAGCAAAGCAACAGCAUCCGUGUCCACUCAGACUGCCACAGAGGAGAAAGGAACCAAGAGCAAAACAACAGCGUCCAUGUCUACGCAGACUACCACAGAGGAGAAAGGAACCAAAAGGGCCAUGAGCACCUCCACACAAACAGUCACCGAACCAGAGCAGCCUAAACCGGUAGAAGUUGCCCCCAUUCAGAAAAAGAAAUCAAAAAGCAAAUCAGUCCGCAUAGUGACUGAUGAGGGUGAGGCAGGACCUUCACACGCAGCGGAGGAGACAGAACCAGAGAUUAUCACUCGCUCUCUAUCCCUAGGUGAGCUGCGUGACCUGCGGAGGGAAUUCACCCGCCAGACGAACGAGUCCAUCCUAACCUGGCUGCUCCGCAUCUGGGACGCUGCAGCAAACGACACCAUCCUGGAUGGAAGUGAGGCCAGGCAACUGGGAUCGCUGUCCCGGGAUGUGGUCAUUGACCAGGGGAUUGGGAGAACCCAAGAAACUCUCAGCCUCUGGAGGCGACUGCUGACAAGUGUAAGGGACAGAUACCUCUGCAAAGAAGACCUCCAGGUGCACCAGGGAAAAUGGAGCACAAUGGAACAGGGUAUCCGAUGCCUGAGGGAGUUGGCUGUGCUGGAGAUCAUUUUUGCAGAAGAUGAGAGAUUUCCUAAGAGCCCAGAUGGUGUCCAGUGCACGUCACAGAUGUGGCUGAGAUUUGCACGGCUUGGACCAGAGAUGUACUCCCGUUACCUGGCAACACUGCAAUGGAGGGAAGGUGAGGACAGGGUGGGUGUCCUGGCCAAUAAACUAAGAAUCUACGAGGACACUGUCACUGCCCCGUUUCGCACCCAUGUCUCAUCUGUGGAAACAAGGCUGGCUGAGCAAGUCCGGAGCUUGAUUGAAGAGGGCCAUCAGAAACUAAAAAAGGAACUUAAGGAAGAAAUUUACCACGUCUCCCCAGAACCAACAAGAGUCUCUGCUAUUAGGAGUAGGCAUUCCCCAGCCAGGGAGAAAGGAUACACUCCACGAGGUAACCUCUGGUUUUUUCUCCAGGAGCAUGGAGAAGACAUGAGGAAGUGGGAUGGAAA
Molecule: long non-coding RNA, 1827 nt
Organism: Cyanistes caeruleus (blue tit)
Lineage: Eukaryota; Metazoa; Chordata; Aves; Passeriformes; Paridae
Source: Ensembl